This 497-nucleotide ribosomal RNA is filed under the name uncultured bacterium. Its description in RNAcentral is "partial 16S ribosomal RNA". It matches the Rfam family "Bacterial small subunit ribosomal RNA", at positions 28 to 507 of the family's 1533-position model. The record is from RNAcentral.
GACGAACGCUGGCGGCGUGCCUAAUACAUGCAAGUUGAGCGAUGAAGAUUGGUGCUUGCACCAAUUUGAAGAGCAGCGAACGGGUGAGUAACGCGUGGGGAAUCUGCCUUUGAGCGGGGGACAACAUUUGGAAACGAAUGCUAAUACCGCAUAACAACUUUAAACAUAAGUUUUAAGUUUGAAAGAUGCAAUUGCAUCACUCAAAGAUGAUCCCGCGUUGUAUUAGCUAGUUGGUGAGGUAAAGGCUCACCAAGGCGAUGAUACAUAGCCGACCUGAGAGGGUGAGCGGCCACAUUGGGACUGGGACACGGCCCAAACUCCUACGGGAGGCAGCAGUAGGGAAUCUUCGGCAAUGGACGAAAGUCUGACCGAGCAACGCCGCGUGAGUGAAGAAGGUUGUCGGAUCGUAAAACUCUGUUGGUAGAGAAGAACGUUGGUGAGAGUGGAAAGCUCAUCAAGUGACGGUAACUACCCAGAAAGGGACGGCUAACUACGUG